RNAcentral lists this unclassified non-coding RNA (781 nucleotides) under Arabidopsis thaliana (thale cress). RNAcentral's name for it is "3' external transcribed spacer". Lineage: Eukaryota; Viridiplantae; Streptophyta; Magnoliopsida; Brassicales; Brassicaceae. The record is from RNAcentral.
CCCUCCCCUAAAUCACUCCAAAAAAAACAAUCCCCAAUUCUACACAAGUGUUUCUACACUAACAAAGCAACAGCUCCUUAACGAAUUCCCAACUUUACACGAGCUCGUCUCUCGAGGUUAAAUGUUAUUACUUGGUAAGAUUCCGGACCUCGCCAAGUGUUUUGAAAACCCGCAACGCUCGCAAAGGUGGAUAGUGAGAAUAAUAAGUGAAGAGACAGACUUGUCCAAAACGCCCACCACGAAGGUGCAUAGUGAGAAGAGUAAGUCAAGAGAUAGACUUGUCCAAAAAGAAACGGAAGAGAAAGCGUGGGGAGACGCUCACGAAGGUGCAUAGUGAGAAGAGUAAGUCAAGAGACAGACUUGUUCGAAAAGAAACAGAAGAGAAUGCUUGGGGUUACACUCACGAAGGUGCAUAGUGAGAAGAGUAAGUCAAGAGACAGACUUGUUCGAAAAGAAACAAAAGAGAAUGCUUGGGGAGAUAGAAGUGUGAGAUAGUUCUCAAGCUAAGAAAGUUGUAAAGCUAAGAACUAGCAUCAAAUGAUGGAUGAAACACAAGGUAGUUGUUGAAAAGUCAAACACUUGGUGAUAUGAACACAAACGUUCAAUAUGACAAACCCAUGCCAAGUAAAGAGAAAAUGAAAACUGGUGAUUGUUGCGGAAAUCGUCCAGGAUUCCUCGACCAGGACUUGAAAUCGUCGAGGGAAAAAAUCGGUUCCGAGGAAUCGUCGAUCCGGACUUGGAAUCGUCGAGAAAAGUUUACCGGGUCCGAGGAUUUGUCGAC